AUGGCGACCGGCGCACGGGUGCGUAACGCGUAUGCAACCUACCUUUUACAGGGGCAUAACACUGAGAAAUUGGUACUAAUUCCCCAUAAUAUCUGAGACGGCAUCGUUUUGGGUUGAAAACUCCGGUGGUAAAAGAUGGGCAUGCGUUGUAUUAGCUAGUUGGUGAGGUAACGGCUCACCAAGGCGACGAUACAUAGGGGGACUGAGAGGUCAACCCCCCACAUUGGUACUGAGACACGGACCAAACUCCUACGGAAGGCAGCAG
RNAcentral lists this ribosomal RNA (265 nucleotides) under uncultured bacterium. RNAcentral's name for it is "partial 16S ribosomal RNA". It matches the Rfam family "Bacterial small subunit ribosomal RNA", at positions 88 to 354 of the family's 1533-position model. The record is from RNAcentral.